This 1608-nucleotide ribosomal RNA is filed under the name Staphylococcus aureus. RNAcentral describes it as "partial 23S ribosomal RNA". It matches the Rfam family "Bacterial large subunit ribosomal RNA", at positions 587 to 2196 of the family's 2925-position model. Lineage: Bacteria; Bacillati; Bacillota; Bacilli; Caryophanales; Staphylococcaceae. The record is from RNAcentral.
UAAUGGGUGAUGGCGUGCCUUUUGUAGAAUGAACCGGCGAGUUACGAUUUGAUGCAAGGUUAAGCAGUAAAUGUGGAGCCGUAGCGAAAGCGAGUCUGAAUAGGGCGUUUAGUAUUUGGUCGUAGACCCGAAACCAGGUGAUCUACCCUUGGUCAGGUUGAAGUUCAGGUAACACUGAAUGGAGGACCGAACCGACUUACGUUGAAAAGUGAGCGGAUGAACUGAGGGUAGCGGAGAAAUUCCAAUCGAACCUGGAGAUAGCUGGUUCUCUCCGAAAUAGCUUUAGGGCUAGCCUCAAGUGAUGAUUAUUGGAGGUAGAGCACUGUUUGGACGAGGGGCCCCUCUCGGGUUACCGAAUUCAGACAAACUCCGAAUGCCAAUUAAUUUAACUUGGGAGUCAGAACAUGGGUGAUAAGGUCCGUGUUCGAAAGGGAAACAGCCCAGACCACCAGCUAAGGUCCCAAAAUAUAUGUUAAGUGGAAAAGGAUGUGGCGUUGCCCAGACAACUAGGAUGUUGGCUUAGAAGCAGCCAUCAUUUAAAGAGUGCGUAAUAGCUCACUAGUCGAGUGACACUGCGCCGAAAAUGUACCGGGGCUAAACAUAUUACCGAAGCUGUGGAUUGUCCUUUGGACAAUGGUAGGAGAGCGUUCUAAGGGCGUUGAAGCAUGAUCGUAAGGACAUGUGGAGCGCUUAGAAGUGAGAAUGCCGGUGUGAGUAGCGAAAGACGGGUGAGAAUCCCGUCCACCGAUUGACUAAGGUUUCCAGAGGAAGGCUCGUCCGCUCUGGGUUAGUCGGGUCCUAAGCUGAGGCCGACAGGCGUAGGCGAUGGAUAACAGGUUGAUAUUCCUGUACCACCUAUAAUCGUUUUAAUCGAUGGGGGGACGCAGUAGGAUAGGCGAAGCGUGCGAUUGGAUUGCACGUCUAAGCAGUAAGGCUGAGUAUUAGGCAAAUCCGGUACUCGUUAAGGCUGAGCUGUGAUGGGGAGAAGACAUUGUGUCUUCGAGUCGUUGAUUUCACACUGCCGAGAAAAGCCUCUAGAUAGAAAAUAGGUGCCCGUACCGCAAACCGACACAGGUAGUCAAGAUGAGAAUUCUAAGGUGAGCGAGCGAACUCUCGUUAAGGAACUCGGCAAAAUGACCCCGUAACUUCGGGAGAAGGGGUGCUCUUUAGGGUUAACGCCCAGAAGAGCCGCAGUGAAUAGGCCCAAGCGACUGUUUAUCAAAAACACAGGUCUCUGCUAAACCGUAAGGUGAUGUAUAGGGGCUGACGCCUGCCCGGUGCUGGAAGGUUAAGAGGAGUGGUUAGCUUCUGCGAAGCUACGAAUCGAAGCCCCAGUAAACGGCGGCCGUAACUAUAACGGUCCUAAGGUAGCGAAAUUCCUUGUCGGGUAAGUUCCGACCCGCACGAAAGGCGUAACGAUUUGGGCACUGUCUCAACGAGAGACUCGGUGAAAUCAUAGUACCUGUGAAGAUGCAGGUUACCCGCGACAGGACGGAAAGACCCCGUGGAGCUUUACUGUAGCCUGAUAUUGAAAUUCGGCACAGCUUGUACAGGAUAGGUAGGAGCCUUUGAAACGUGAGCGCUAGCUUACGUGGAGGCGCUGGUGGG